UACGAAGGGGGCUAGCGUUGCUCGGAAUCACUGGGCGUAAAGGGUGCGUAGGCGGGUCUUUAAGUCAGGGGUGAAAUCCUGGAGCUCAACUCCAGAACUGCCUUUGAUACUGAAGAUCUUGAGUUCGGGAGAGGUGAGUGGAACUGCGAGUGUAGAGGUGAAAUUCGUAGAUAUUCGCAAGAACACCAGUGGCGAAGGCGGCUCACUGGCCCGAUACUGACGCUGAGGCACGAAAGCGUGGGAGCAAACGGGG
RNAcentral lists this ribosomal RNA (253 nucleotides) under uncultured bacterium. RNAcentral describes it as "partial 16S ribosomal RNA". It matches the Rfam family "Bacterial small subunit ribosomal RNA", at positions 524 to 777 of the family's 1533-position model. The record is from RNAcentral.